Long non-coding RNA from Varanus komodoensis (Komodo dragon), 387 nucleotides. RefSeq lists it as uncharacterized. The transcript has 4 exons. The record is from RefSeq and is a predicted model, not a curated record. Lineage: Eukaryota; Metazoa; Chordata; Lepidosauria; Squamata; Varanidae.
UGUUGUGAGUGGAACAGAUAUUAACAAGAAGCUAGGUGUGAGGAAGGAGGGGCAAACAGUAAAAAUGAAAGUGAAACCUUUUGAGCAGAAUACUCCCACAAGUUUUUGGAUCUUUUUAUGUAUAGCCAGAGCUUGGUUAUAUUAUUCUUUCCCUGGAGGAGAACAUCUUAUAAUGGCAGCAGGCUGUAAAAGUGACCCAGUUUGGGAAUAUUUUAAUGAAUUUUCCUCUAUGUACAGGUAAGGCAGGCAUGUGUGCAAUUUAUGGAAAAUGAAUUAAAUCUAGUCUUACUGACUAGUGACUGAAAUUGUGAUUUAAACUGAUUUGAUUUAGAACAACUCCACCCUAACAAUAGCCCAAUGUAUGUUAUUUAACCUAAUAUGAGGAUA